GACGAACGCUGGCGGCGUGCCUAAUACAUGCAAGUCGAGCGAAGUUUUUCUGGUGCUUGCACCGGAAAAACUUAGCGGCGAACGGGUGAGUAACACGUAAAGAACCUGCCUCAUAGACUGGGACAACUAUUGGAAACGAUAGCUAAUACCGGAUAAUAGCAUUAACUGCAUGGUUGAUGUUUAAAAGUUGGUUUUGCUAACACUAUGAGAUGGCUUUGCGGUGCAUUAGCUAGUUGGUGGGGUAAGGGCCUACCAAGGCGACGAUGCAUAGCCGACCUGAGGGGGUGAUCGGCCCCCCGGGGACUGAGCCCCGCCCCCGCCCCCUCCGGGGGGCCGCAGUGGGGAUUCUUCCGCAAUGGGCGAACCCCUGACGGAGCAACGCCGCGUGAGUGAAGAAGGUUUUCGGUUCGUAAAGCUCUUUUUUUAGGGAAGAAUGAUUGUUUAGUAACUUUACACAGUAGCGACGGUACCUAACCAAAAAGCCCCGGCUAACUCCGU
RNAcentral lists this ribosomal RNA (498 nucleotides) under uncultured bacterium. RNAcentral's name for it is "partial 16S ribosomal RNA". It matches the Rfam family "Bacterial small subunit ribosomal RNA", at positions 28 to 506 of the family's 1533-position model. The record is from RNAcentral.